UGAACCAGUACCGUGAGGGAAAGGCGAAAAGAACCCCGGCGAGGGGAGUGAAAAAGAACCUGAAACCGUGUACGUACAAGCAGUGGGAGCCUCUUUAUGGGGUGACUGCGUACCUUUUGUAUAAUGGGUCAGCGACUUAUAUUCUGUAGCAAGGUUAACCGAAUAGGGGAGCCGAAGGGAAACCGAGUCUUAACUGGGCGUUAAGUUGCAGGGUAUAGACCCGAAACCCGGUGAUCUAGCCAUGGGCAGGUUGAAGGUUGGGUAACACUAACUGGAGGACCGAACCGACUAAUGUUGAAAAAUUAGCGGAUGACUUGUGGCUGGGGGUGAAAGGCCAAUCAAACCGGGAGAUAGCUGGUUCUCCCCGAAAGCUAUUUAGGUAGCGCCUCGUGAAUUCAUCUCCGGGGGUAGAGCACUGUUUCGGCAAGGGGGUCAUCCCGACUUACCAACCCGAUGCAAACUGCGAAUACCGGAGAAUGUUAUCACGGGAGACACACGGCGGGUGCUAACGUCCGUCGUGAAGAGGGAAACAACCCAGACCGCCAGCUAAGGUCCCAAAGUCAUGGUUAAGUGGGAAACGAUGUGGGAAGGCCCAGACAGCCAGGAUGUUGGCUUAGAAGCAGCCAUCAUUUAAAGAAAGCGUAAUAGCUCACUGGUCGAGUCGGCCUGCGCGGAAGAUGUAACGGGGCUAAACCAUGCACCGAAGCUGCGGCAGCGACGCUUAUGCGUUGUUGGGUAGGGGAGCGUUCUGUAAGCCUGCGAAGGUGUACUGUGAGGUAUGCUGGAGGUAUCAGAAGUGCGAAUGCUGACAUAAGUAACGAUAAAGCGGGUGAAAAGCCCGCUCGCCGGAAGACCAAGGGUUCCUGUCCAACGUUAAUCGGGGCAGGGUGAGUCGACCCCUAAGGCGAGGCCGAAAGGCGUAGUCGAUGGGAAACAGGUUAAUAUUCCUGUACUUGGUGUUACUGCGAAGGGGGGACGGAGAAGGCUAUGUUGGCCGGGCGACGGUUGUCCCGGUUUAAGCGUGUAGGCUGGUUUUCCAGGCAAAUCCGGAAAAUCAAGGCUGAGGCGUGAUGACGAGGCACUACGGUGCUGAAGCAACAAAUGCCCUGCUUCCAGGAAAAGCCUCUAAGCAUCAGGUAACAUCAAAUCGUACCCCAAACCGACACAGGUGGUCAGGUAGAGAAUACCAAGGCGCUUGAGAGAACUCGGGUGAAGGAACUAGGCAAAAUGGUGCCGUAACUUCGGGAGAAGGCACGCUGAUAUGUAGGUGAAGUCCCUUGCGGAUGGAGCUGAAAUCAGUCGAAGAUACCAGCUGGCUGCAACUGUUUAUUAAAAACACAGCACUGUGCAAACACGAAAGUGGACGUAUACGGUGUGACGCCUGCCCGGUGCCGGAAGGUUAAUUGAUGGGGUUAGCGGUAACGCGAAGCUCUUGAUCGAAGCCCCGGUAAACGGCGGCCGUAACUAUAACGGUCCUAAGGUAGCGAAAUUCCUUGUCGGGUAAGUUCCGACCUGCACGAAUGGCGUAAUGAUGGCCAGGCUGUCUCCACCCGAGACUCAGUGAAAUUGAACUCGCUGUGAAGAUGCAGUGUACCCGCGGCAAGACGGAAAGACCCCGUGAACCUUUACUAUAGCUUGACACUGAACAUUGAGCCUUGAUGUGUAGGAUAGGUGGGAGGCUUUGAAGUGUGGACGCCAGUCUGCAUGGAGCCGACCUUGAAAUACCACCCUUUAAUGUUUGAUGUUCUAACGUUGGCCCCUAAUCGGGGUUGCGGACAGUGUCUGGUGGGUAGUUUGACUGGGGCGGUCUCCUCCUAAAGAGUAACGGAGGAGCACGAAGGUUGGCUAAUCCUGGUCGGACAUCAGGAGGUUAGUGCAAUGGCAUAAGCCAGCUUGACUGCGAGCGUGACGGCGCGAGCAGGUGCGAAAGCAGGUCAUAGUGAUCCGGUGGUUCUGAAUGGAAGGGCCAUCGCUCAACGGAUAAAAGGUACUCCGGGGAUAACAGGCUGAUACCGCCCAAGAGUUCAUAUCGACGGCGGUGUUUGGCACCUCGAUGUCGGCUCAUCACAUCCUGGGGCUGAAGUAGGUCCCAAGGGUAUGGCUGUUCGCCAUUUAAAGUGGUACGCGAGCUGGGUUUAGAACGUCGUGAGACAGUUCGGUCCCUAUCUGCCGUGGGCGCUGGAGAACUGAGGGGGGCUGCUCCUAGUACGAGAGGACCGGAGUGGACGCAUCACUGGUGUUCGGGUUGUCAUGCCAAUGGCACUGCCCGGUAGCUAAAUGCGGAAGAGAUAAGUGCUGAAAGCAUCUAAGCACGAAACUUGCCCCGAGAUGAGUUCUCCCUGACUCCCUGAGAGUCCUGAAGGAACGUUGAAGACGACGACGUUGAUAGGCCGGGUGUGUAAGCGCAGCGAUGCGUUGAGCUAACCGGUACUAAUGAACCGUGAGGCUUAACCUU
RNAcentral lists this ribosomal RNA (2455 nucleotides) under Escherichia coli. RNAcentral's name for it is "bacterial LSU rRNA". It matches the Rfam family "Bacterial large subunit ribosomal RNA", at positions 491 to 2925 of the family's 2925-position model. The record is from RNAcentral. Lineage: Bacteria; Pseudomonadati; Pseudomonadota; Gammaproteobacteria; Enterobacterales; Enterobacteriaceae.